RNAcentral lists this long non-coding RNA (2108 nucleotides) under Bactrocera tryoni. Its description in RNAcentral is "uncharacterized LOC120781988". Lineage: Eukaryota; Metazoa; Arthropoda; Insecta; Diptera; Tephritidae. The record is from RNAcentral.
GUUCCUUGCACUUUUGGAUUAUUCACAUCUCCUGCGUUUCCCGCAUCGUUACCCAAUAUGGUAGCAUAGAUCUUACUGCUACUGUUGCUGCCACUUCUUUUUGUUCUUUCUUCGUUUGUAUUGUUUUUUCUCAUGUAAAAUUCCAUUCCUUUCUUUUUGUACCAGCGCAUCGUGUGUAGGGGGGCGGGCCGAAAUAAACAGGAGCGGGUGUACCCUCGUUGACUAUGCACCUACCCCAGCUCCCUGAGGCCUGUUCUUCGCUUUACUGGUCCCAGAAAACACGGACGGACCAGCGCUCGCCCGGGGCAACGCAGACUACUAAUCUUGCGCCCAAUGCACACUCCUCCUCCCUCCUAACACCUCGGCAGAGCAGGCCCACAUCACCCUAUCCAUCUCGACGGCAGAGAAGUCGCUGAGAAGAUUUAAAGGGACUCCCAGUGCGCCGCGAUGUACAUCGGUCAGAGAAAACCUAACAUGGUGAACAGACGCUGACCAGGAAGCUGCUAAUUGUGAGUCCGUCGCGCCUGGAUUUUUGUAUUACCCACCAUGCCCUUGCAUGAUGGGGGGGACACCUAUUUUUGAGAGGCGGUAUCGGCUCGCCUCUGUCGCAGGGGUUUCAUCAGUUUAGCUGGCUUUUUUACCGCAACCUCCACACCUGCCGCUCCUCGUCGGGGGUUGCUUAUUCGUCAUAACUUAUUUCGCAACUAACCUGCUACUACAGGCCGUCCGGCUAUCUGCGACCUGCCGACCCCCCGGUAGCUUAGAGCUCAGCUGGAAAGUCUGGCUCCACUGAGAAACCAAGACCAACGGGUAGAAUAGGAAGUCUAUCUGAUAUUAUUUGUUUACUUAGCUUUUGAAAGUCUAUAACCAUUAUUUUCUUUGGUUGACCGUUCUCAUCUGUUCCUUUCUAUGAGACAGUCCAUAUGACAGGGUUAUAAAGGCUUUUGCUUUCUUUUAAUAUUUUGAAGUACUUUAAGGUCAAUUAUUUGCACUAAACCUGUCUGCACCGGGGUUUUUGUUUUUAGUUUGAGUUGCCUCUGCUGCCUGCCUUUCGAUGUUAGAGUUGCUUCUGUCGCUUUGUUUUCGUUGAAGUCAAGGUGUUGAAGCUCUUCUUUGAGCUAGAUGCGAAGUUAGAGGAAACAACCGUGAACUACGCGUUGCGCUCGCUAAUCAGUUAUUUUUAUUGUUAUAACACAGUACAACAGCUAAUCUGGGGUGUGAGAAAUUCCAAGUCAGGGUGAUGGUACUAGGUCAGUAUAGUAAACCCUCAAAGGGUUUGGCGUUCGUAUGUGUCAGUUUUUUUUGACCUUUCAGCGAAGACGUUACAGUAAGCACAGUUUGACAAAAACGCUUGUAUCAUUACUGCAUUUACAUUCAUGUCGAUCAUUAAAAGCAUUAUUCACUGCAUUAAAAAAAUUGUAAACUUCGUGACAAAAGGAGACAGCGUUUUAUUUGUAAUUUUCAUGUCAUAUCUUUUGUCAUUAUAGUUUUAUACAACAUCGCUUCGUGUUUGGUAAAAGUUAAAUUUACUUCAAAUCAUCUGUAAUAAAAAGUCAAAAAGUAUAAAAAUAUAAAGUAAAAGUGAGAAAGCAUAUAGUUUAUAUACUAAAUUAGACAGAUGGUUUCAUAAACAUAGGCCCACUCGAGAUUGCGCAGUUAAAUUAGUGAAAAUUUUAAGAAAUGAAAAUUAAAUGUAAACGCCUUUUAUAAAUUUGAUUCAGUGGAGAAACCCAUAAUAACCAAUAGCGGAUGGGGUUCAUAGAUUAAUUUCGGAUUGAUCUGAGGAAACGUGUUUAACGACAAAAUUUCCAUUGUCAAACGCGGAAGAAGUAGAAUGUCUAAAUGCAGAAAUAAAAAACAACAAUCGCGAAUGUUAUGUAAAGAUUAUGAAAUAACUUUUUAGACCUGCAAGAGGGGUUGAAAAUCUUAAAGAGAUAUUGACGGACAUUGUUGUCCAAUAAUAUAAUAUUGAUGAAAUUCAUGGAAAAACAUCUUUAAGAAGUCUAGAGAAUUUUUAUUCCACCCUAAUAGAAUCAAUUCCAGAUGUCAAUGACUUCGAACCGGCCGAAAAAAAAAUUGAAUCAUUAAAGGAAAAAGUUUAAAUAAAA